UAGGGAAUAUUGCACCAUGGGCGGAAGCCUGAUGCAGCAACGCCGCGUGAGUGAAGAAGGCCUUCGGGUCGUAAAACUCUUUUCAAGGGGAAGAGGAAGGACGGUACCCUUGGAAUAAGCAUCGGCUAACUACGUGCCAGCAGCCGCGGUAACACGUAGGAUGCGAGCGUUAUUCGGAUUUACUGGGCGUAAAGCGCGUGUAGGCGGUUAGGAGAGUUGGAUGUGAAAGCUCCCGGCUUAACUGGGAGAG
This 250-nucleotide ribosomal RNA is filed under the name uncultured bacterium. RNAcentral describes it as "partial 16S ribosomal RNA". It matches the Rfam family "Bacterial small subunit ribosomal RNA", at positions 355 to 621 of the family's 1533-position model. The record is from RNAcentral.